This 64-nucleotide transfer RNA is filed under the name Ictidomys tridecemlineatus (thirteen-lined ground squirrel). RNAcentral's name for it is "Spermophilus tridecemlineatus (thirteen-lined ground squirrel) tRNA". It matches the Rfam family "tRNA". Rfam says of the family: Transfer RNA (tRNA) molecules are approximately 80 nucleotides in length. Their secondary structure includes four short double-helical elements and three loops (D, anti-codon, and T loops). Further hydrogen bonds mediate the characteristic L-shaped molecular structure. tRNAs have two regions of fundamental functional importance: the anti-codon, which is responsible for specific mRNA codon recognition, and the 3' end, to which the tRNAs corresponding amino acid is attached (by aminoacyl-tRNA synthetases). tRNAs cope with the degeneracy of the genetic code in two manners: having more than one tRNA (with a specific anti-codon) for a particular amino acid; and 'wobble' base-pairing, i.e. permitting non-standard base-pairing at the 3rd anti-codon position. The record is from Rfam by way of RNAcentral. Lineage: Eukaryota; Metazoa; Chordata; Mammalia; Rodentia; Sciuridae.
AGGGUUGUAGCUCAGUGGUAGAGCACUCACCUCGAAUGUGUGUGAGACCCUGGGUUCAAUCCUC